AGCCAGACUCCUACGGGAGGCAGCAGUGGGGAAUAUUGCACAAUGGGGGAAACCCUGAUGCAGCGACGCCGCGUGAGCGAUGAAGUAUUUCGGUAUGUAAAGCUCUAUCAGCAGGGAAGAAGGUGACGGUACCUGACUAAGAAGCCCCGGCUAACUACGUGCCAGCAGCCGCGGUAAUACGUAGGGGGCAAGAGUUAUCCGGAUUUACUGGGUGUAAAGGGAGCGUAGACGGCGAUGCAAGCCAGAUGUGAAAGCCCGGGGCUCAACCCCGGGACUGCAUUUGGAACUGUGUGGCUGGAGUGUCGGAGAGGCAGGCGGAAUUCCUAGUGUAGCGGUGAAAUGCGUAGAUAUUAGGAGGAACACCAGUGGCGAAGGCGGCCUGCUGGACGAUGACUGACGUUGAGGCUCGAAAGCGUGGGGAGCAAACAGGAUUAGAUACCCUGGUAAA
RNAcentral lists this ribosomal RNA (448 nucleotides) under uncultured bacterium. RNAcentral's name for it is "bacterial SSU rRNA". It matches the Rfam family "Bacterial small subunit ribosomal RNA", at positions 329 to 794 of the family's 1533-position model. The record is from RNAcentral.